This is a long non-coding RNA of Cryptomeria japonica (Japanese cedar), 1167 nucleotides long. RefSeq lists it as uncharacterized. Lineage: Eukaryota; Viridiplantae; Streptophyta; Pinopsida; Cupressales; Cupressaceae. The record is from RefSeq and is a predicted model, not a curated record. The transcript is spliced from 4 exons.
CAUUAAGGGGGUUGGAUCCAGCUGGCGUGUCCACAAUUCUUGUCUGUUUUCUUUUCUUUAUUUGAUACCGGUAGAGCCCAUUAGAUGAAUGGCCAGUUAAAAUACUUUCUUGACAUGGCUUUUAUACUAGCUUUAGUCCAGUCUAUGUCGCUCUAAUAAUAGCGAAAGAGAUCAGGCAAAUGAUAAGGGCCACAGAAACUUUGAAGAUAUGCAAUGGAUGGUCCGAAUGCUCAGAGAUAAAGCAGAACGGAUUCUUGAGCUUUGUUCGAAUCGAGGCUCUCUUAUCCAGGAUUUGCAAAUAUUAGACAAUUGCGGAGAAGGAUUUGCUAAAUCGGCUAGGUAUAGCUGAGAUUGGUAGAGUCCGUGGUGAUAUUUUUCCACGGCUUUCUUGAACUUUAAUGGCGGAGCAGAGUCGUUGUGGAAAGUAGUACUCUUUGAAAGAAAAGCUCAAGAAAGCCGUGGGAAAAUAUAGAGGGAUUCGGAAAUGCGCUAGAUUUGCUCUUCUUCUUCCUUGCUCCGAUUCGGCGGAACACAACAGAACGGAAGAGCAUAGUAUAUUUCGUUUUCUCUGCCAUGGAAUUGAUGUCCACGAGUAUUGGAUACAAAUGUUACCUGUCGCACAGCAGAAGAGAUCUUUCAUCAAAUCAAUUUUAUUGCCGUGGAGAAUGGAAGAGCAGAGUGGACUAGAUACAAAUGUUGCCUGUCGCACAGCAGAGGAAAUCUUUCAUCAAAUCAAUCUUAUUGCAAUGGAGUGAUUGCAUUUAUUCGAAUGGCAUUCUGAGAAAACAAUGUCAGGCUCCUCCUCAACCAGGUUUUCAAUCGAAGCAUUCCACGAUUAAAGAAAAGCAGCAGGAACAGUUGUGCAUGUUCUGUAAAAGCUUUUCAUGCAGGCUAUCGAAUAAAAUCUUUUGAAGAAAUGGUGAAACUGUAAGUCUCAAUUGAGUGUCCAGAUAAAUAACUUAAUUAUAUUUUUUUGGAUUUUUGUGGCUACAAAUAAGAUAAAAAUUGGAUCAUAGAUUUGUGAGGAUGGAAAGCGUAUCAGCGAUUGAUUUGCACAAAUGACCUUGAUUUUAGAAAGAUUUUAAAAUGUUUUGAAAGGCACGUUUCUCCGCUUAAGCAUAACAAAAGAAAGUUCACGGUAUCUGCAAUAUAACAAUCACAUUAAAU